This 292-nucleotide ribosomal RNA is filed under the name uncultured bacterium. RNAcentral describes it as "partial 16S ribosomal RNA". It matches the Rfam family "Bacterial small subunit ribosomal RNA", at positions 505 to 796 of the family's 1533-position model. The record is from RNAcentral.
GUGUCAGCAGCCGCGGUAAGACAGAGGGGGCAAGCGUUGCUCGGAAUCACUGGGCGUAAAGGGCGCGUAGGCGGGUCGUCAAGUCGGUCGUGAAAUUCCCGGGCUCAACUCGGGGGGGUCGGCCGAAACUGAUGGUCUUGAGGGGGGCAGAGGAGUCUGGAAUUCCCGGUGUAGCGGUGAAAUGUGUAGAGAUCGGGAGGAACACCGGUGGCGAAGGCGGGGCUCUGGGCCCACUCUGACGCUGAGGCGCGAAAGCGUGGGGAGCAAACGGGAUUAGAUACCCUCGUAGUCC